GAUUGGAUUCACCAGAACGUUUUCCCUUGCAAAUAUUGUAAGAUUUCAUAUAUUGAUGAGAUACACAACGAGGACCUCUGCCUCUGUAAGUGUCAGUAUUGUGCAUGAUCCCUGCCAUGCCCACUGUUCUGGCAUCAGAGUCUUGCCCUGUACAGUUUAGCCACUGUCAAACCAUUUUCUUUUAUUGUUGCUUUUCUUUUAUUGUUGCUAUCAAUAAGCUUCAUUAUGAAUUUGGUUUUUAUAAAUACUUUUCAUUGGCUUAGGUGUCCCAUGAGAAAACAGUGAGCACACCUCUUGGAUGUCCAGGUGGGCACACCCCUCAGAUGUCUAGUUUUAGUUUGUCACACAGCUGGUCAUUCUUCCCUGUUUCUCCUGUCACUAUGCACAGGAGACGCCUGCUUCAGGAUCUGAAAGUUUAAGGGUAAAACUACCCAUAGGAACAUGAAGGCAGAUCAAAGAGUGUCAAUUUUAAAAAUGAAAAUUGGGGCCAGGCACGAUGGCUCAAGCCUGUAAUCCCAGCACUUUGGGAGGCCGAGACGGGAGGAUCACGAGGUCAGGAGAUCGAGACCAUCCUGGCGAACACGGUGAAACCCCAUCUCUACUAAAAAAUACAAAAAACUAGCCAGGCGAGGUGGUGGGCGUCUGUAGUCCCAGCUACUCAGGAGGCUGAGGCAGGAGAAUGGCCUAAACCCGGGAGGCAGAGCUUGCAGUGAGCUGAGAUCCGGUCACUGCACUCCAGCCUGGGGGACAGAGCGAGACUCCGUCUCAAAAAAAAAAGAAAAGAAAAUUGGAACAUCUAUUACACUGGUAAAGAUAGACAUGUUUGACAAGAACAGUGUUGACUUAGAUGUAGGGAAAUGGACACUCUCAUGCAUCACAGAAGGCUAAACAUUCCUUCCUAGGAAAGAACUGCGGCCCUUUGUCUUAUAAGUGUCCCUGUUGUGGAAGAUCAAUGUAGAGACAUAAGAUGGGCCUGUACACACUAACAGAGAAAUAUCUCUAUAUUUGCUAAAUGGAAAAGCAUGUCAUAGAGCAGCACGAACGGUGAAAAAGCGGGAGAUUAUGUGAUAUGUCACCAUAUUAAUGUGCGUGUGAAGUUUCCAGGAAUCACGGCUUGAAUUCUCCAUCCAGUCUAUGGUCUCCCAUAGAGUGUUCCUUGAGAGUAGGCCCUGUCUCUCCAAGGAGAUCCAGAUGUCAGCUAUAGGUGAUAGACCCAGGGUGAGAUUUUCUCCGUCACUGGGGAGAGAAGAAACCAAGGACAAGGAGCAUUUAUGGGGAGACAGAACCAAGAAAAUCAACUCUGGAUCCCAGAAAGCUCAGAAGAGAAACAGUGAAGUCUCUGGGGGCUGCUGCUGUAGCUCAACCCCAACUUGUCCAUGAUCCCUUCGUGACCGCAGCCAGCACACCUUGUCCCGCACAUCUAUGUGCAAAGCCCACCUGGCUCUGUGUCUGGCUCAGGGUCAUUGAGGGUGAAUCCCAGGCUGCUGCUGUUACGGCUUCUGCACAGGGCCUUGCAUUUUGUAUGCUUGGUAUUUAGAGAAUGUCAAGUGUCUGGCACCAGGGUACAAAGAUCAUACACCCAGUAGGAAGAUUAAGAAACUGGCUUUGGCCGGGCGCGGUGGCUCAAGCCUGUAAUCCCAGCACUUUGGGAGGCCGAGACGGGCGGAUCACGGGGUCAGGAGAUGGAGACCAUCCUGGCUAACACGGUGAAACCCCGUCUCUACUAAGAAAUACAAAAACUAGCCGGGCGAGGUGGCGGGCACCUGUAGUCCCAGCUACUCGGGAGGCUGAGGCAGGAGAAUGGUGUGAACCCGGGGGGCAGAGCUUGCAGUGAGCUGAGAUCCGGCCACUGCACUGCAGCCUGGGCUACAGAGCCAGACUCCGUCUCAAAAAAAAAAAAAAA
Long non-coding RNA from Macaca fascicularis (crab-eating macaque), 1903 nucleotides. Lineage: Eukaryota; Metazoa; Chordata; Mammalia; Primates; Cercopithecidae. The record is from Ensembl.